GUGGGGAAUAUUGGACAAUGGGCGAAAGCCUGAUCCAGCCAUGCCGCGUGUGUGAAGAAGGUCUUCGGAUUGUAAAGCACUUUAAGUUGGGAGGAAGGGCAGUAAGUUAAUACCUUGCUGUUUUGACGUUACCGACAGAAUAAGCACCGGCUAACUUCGUGCCAGCAGCCGCGGUAAUACGAAGGGUGCAAGCGUUAAUCGGAAUUACUGGGCGUAAAGCGCGCGUAGGUGGUUUUGUAAGUUGGAGGUGAAAUCCCCGGGCUCAACCUGGGAACUGCAUCCAAAACUGCAUGACUAGAGUACGGUAGAGGGUAGUGGAAUGUCCUGUGUAGCGGUGAAAUGCGUAGAUAUAGGAAGGAAAACCAGUGGCGAAGGCGACUACCUGGACUGAUACUGACACUGAGGUGCGAAAGCGUGGGGAGCAAACAGGAUUAGAUACCCGGGUAGUCC
RNAcentral lists this ribosomal RNA (450 nucleotides) under uncultured bacterium. Its description in RNAcentral is "partial 16S ribosomal RNA". It matches the Rfam family "Bacterial small subunit ribosomal RNA", at positions 354 to 796 of the family's 1533-position model. The record is from RNAcentral.